Molecule: non-coding RNA, 173 nt
Organism: Pelosinus fermentans B4
Lineage: Bacteria; Bacillati; Bacillota; Negativicutes; Selenomonadales; Sporomusaceae
Source: Rfam
UCCACCGCGAGGUGGAAUCUGAAGGAAGUCGGCGGCAAAGCUCUGGUCUGAGGAACACGAACUACAUAUAAGGCAUAUGUCUGCCGGGUGAGUUUGCCUAACAAAACAAAGCCCUAAACUAUUCGAAGCGGACGGUAUAAAUGUAGCAGAUAGAUGGAGUGAAAGUAAGCGUU